RNAcentral lists this transfer RNA (63 nucleotides) under Ornithodoros brasiliensis. RNAcentral's name for it is "tRNA-Cys". The record is from RNAcentral. Lineage: Eukaryota; Metazoa; Arthropoda; Arachnida; Ixodida; Argasidae.
AGUUUUAUAUUUUAUAUAAAUUGUUAAAUUGCAAAUUUAAAGAAGAUUUUUAAUCUAAGACUU